GUGCUUGCUUUGGCAGCACAUAUACUAAAAAUUGGAAUGAUACAGAGAAGAUCAGCAUGGCCCCUGCACAAGGAUGACACUCAAAUUUGUGAAGCAUUCCAUAUUUUU
This 108-nucleotide small nuclear RNA is filed under the name Eschrichtius robustus (grey whale). Lineage: Eukaryota; Metazoa; Chordata; Mammalia; Artiodactyla; Eschrichtiidae. The record is from RNAcentral. RNAcentral also lists the same sequence under 2 other names.